CUAUGUAACCUAGGCUCUGAUACUAACUUGUCACGACCCAAAAACUAACCCUAUCAUGAUGGAGCCUAUCGUGGUACUAGGAAAGCCGACACAUUAUCAAAAUAAAUUGAUAUUUCAUUUCAAAGAUAAUCCCAAAUCUAUUUAAUAUAAAACCUUCAUAAAGGAGUUCAAAUCAAAACGAGUGUACGGAAAAGAAAGCCUGACAUCAGGGUGUCACUAGUCAUGAGCAUCUACUACAACCGUCGGACAAUAUCGAGACUAACAUAGUCUAGAAAUAACUGAAUACAACUAAGGAAAGAUAAAGAGUGAGGGAAGAAGGGUUGCGGUCGCCAGGCAUCUACCUUGCUAACUCUGAUGGGUCUGUAAUAGAACAAUCAACACCUGCUACCAUGACAAAAAAUGCCCGGAUCUGCACACAAGGUCCAGGGAGUAACGUGAGUACGCAAACUCGGUCAGUAACAACAGUAAAUAAAGAUUGAGAAGUAGUGGUGAGGAAUACUGCAACUAAAGUUCAUACCACAGAAACAAAGUAAAAUACGACACGCUUUUAAAACUAUAGUUUGAACUAAAUCAGCUUGUUCAAAUCCAGUUCUAGUAAAAUCAUUUUAAAAAUAUCUUUCAACAGUUUUUAAAAAAGGCUAAAUGCAAAGGUGAGCAAAAAUGAUGAAAUCAUAAACAGCCCCUCGGGCAAACAUCGCUCAUAUACAGCCCCUCGAGCAAACCUUACCAUCGCUCGUAUACAACCCUUCGGGCAAACCUCGCCAUCAGUCAGCACUAGGCACUUGCACUCAGUAGGUACCUAUGCUCACUAGGGGUAUGCAGACUCCAGAGGGGCUCCUUCAACCCAAGCACUAUAACAAGCCAAUCAUAGCAUAAAUCAAUCAGGCCCUCGGCCUCACUCUGUCAUGAAUUAGUAAAACAUGCUACGGCAUGCAGCCCGAUCCCAUAAAUUUCCUCAUAUAUUAGGCCCUCGACCUCACUCAGUCAUAACCUCUCCAGCCUCUCGGGCUCUCAGAAAACAAGGUAUUCAGCCCAAAGAAUGUUUAUAUGAUGCAUUAAAAUGGAGUAAUAGAAACUGAGUUAUGCAGUAAAUAAGUAUAAACAUGAUAGAGUAUAUAUUUCCAAUCGAAAACAAUGAGAGGAUAGCAAUAAAAGACCUCUAAGGGCCCAAACAACACUAGCAUAAGGCGUAAACAUGGCAUCCAACCCGAUUUACAGAAAUUCUUUUUAAAACAAGUAAGAAGUAUGUAGUUUCAACAAAAUAUUCAACUUUACAGUGAUACGGGACGUACCAAGUCACAAUACCCAAUGGUGCACGCCCACACGCCCGUCACCUAGCAUGUGCAUCACCUCAAAAUAGUCAGAUGACACAAAAUCCAGGGUUUCAUUGUUACACCAUAUGUUUUCGUACGUGAGAGUAUUCGUAAAUCAAUUGAUGUAAGCUCAUAAAUAAGAUCAACUUUGAAAGUACAUAAAGUAAGUUAAUCAUGUUACAAUGGAGGUUACAAAUAGUUAAGAUCAUGAAUACCAAGUACCAAGAGGGUUUGAAGGCUUCGAAGCUAAAUGAAUUGAAGAAAAUAAGUUUCGUCGAAAGUCGACAAGUUGGGAAUGUUGUAACAUGUACUUUUGGGGCGAGAAUAGGGUGUUUAAAAUUAUAAGGAGAUUAUGUUAUGAGUUAUUUUAGUCGUAUGAUAGACGUGUGUUAUGAUUUAAAUUCAAGUGAGUUUUCGAACAAAAGUUGGAAAAGGUCAUCACAAGUUGCAUUCAUAAAUGUGUUGAAACUUAGGUCAAAUGUAACUACAAUUUUCUCCCAAUAUACUUUGAGUUAUGGGGUGUACCACGCAUAAAAUUGAAGAUAUAUGAGUUUAUUUUAUAACUCAUCAAACCUUUUAUCAAUACGACAUUGUAGUAUAGAGAUAUAUGCAUUUUUGCAAGACCGCGUAGGCUGUUAGGUGACAAGUAGGUGUGUCACCUACUUGGUUAAAUGAGAGCCCAAAAAGAGGCAAUUUCGUGUCAGCCAAAGAGACCAUUUAAGGGCUUAUCUCCUGAAAAAAAAUUAAUUAUAUAUCACAAAUAACCAGACCUAAACCUCUUCAAACUUCCUCCCAAAAAUUACCCACAAACCCUAGUUGAUUUUCUCUUCCUUUUCAAGUUCUAAUUGGGGGUAAACCUAGAGUUUGAAGAACAAAGAUAGGAGCUGAGUUACCCAAAAAAUAAGGUAUGCUUACUGCUAUAUUUCAUCCAUUUUUUCUGCUCUAAAUUCUUGGUAAGUCGUUCUAUAGUUGUAAGAACUCACAGGACGGUGAUCGGAAGCAGUAAGUUCGAGUUAUUCACUUGUAGCAGACUGCUUUGUAUUGCUGUUGGGAUGCGUGUUUUACUACUAUUUUAUGGAGUUUUGAAGGAGUAAGGGUGUGAAGAAACACCACAUAUAUGUAGGGUGGAGGGAUGCUCAUUCGUUAUAACAUUUUUGGGCCAUUUGACACUACUACGAUGGUCGUUUUGUAUAUUAAGAGAUUGGGGUGUGUUGGGCUGUUUUGUAGUAUUUUGUGGUGUAGAUAAGGUUGGAAAAUAAUGUAUAUAUGUUGAUAUUGUUGUGUUCUUGUAUCGUUGGUAUUAUCUUGAAUUUGUAGGAAGUAAGGAUUAUAGGGGAGAUGCUGCCCAUUUUUAUACAAAAUAAAUUUGUCGUCCGUUGUGCGAUAGUUGUACCUUUCGUAACAUAAUGAUAGUAUUAUUAUAGUUGUUGUAGAUUAAGGUGUGAGAGACGAGUUCAACUUGGUGAUUGGAAAGAUUGUGAUAAGGUAUGUUAAGGUUAAACGUUUUUUUUUCAUUUGGCAUGAUCCAGUAACUACAUGUGUUUGACAACGAGACAUAAAGAGAAGUUCAUACUCCUGAAUUUAUAUACACUAUCCUAGUCUCAUAAGUUACAAUAUUCUCUCUUAUCGGGAAUUCAUAUUCAGAUUAGUUUUGUCUUACGUUAGCCAAGAGAGAAGAGAGUUUGUAUAUAUAUACAGUAUUACAAUAUUUUUACCACCAUCGAACUAUAAUCGAUGGGCAGGCCUCUGUUGGGAAGUACUACUGUAUUUUCACCACCAUUGAGCUAUAAUCGGUGGGCAGGCCCUAUAGGGCAAUGUCAGAUCAAAUGGUAAGUAUAUAUACCGAGCCUGCUAUGGUGGAGCGCCUAUGAGCGAGCCCAAAAUGGCCUAGAUACAGAGCCUAAUAUGGCCAAUAGCCUCUGAGCGAGCCUAAUACGGCAGAGCCGUUACACAUACCAGGCCUUAUAGGGCCAGACAACUAUUUUACAUGCUAUAUGGAGAGAGUUGAGUCAGUAUCAGCAGGUAAGCAUAUCUUUAGAUUAUCUUUGACUCCCAGUUACAUUCAGUUAUUAUAUUAUCAUUUGAGUUUCAACUUUCAGUUAUUCUAUUGCUUUACAUACUCGGUAAAUUAUUUCGUACUGACGUGCCUUUUGCUGGGGAUGCUGCAUUUCAUGCCUACAGGUGUCACACCUCCUCUUUAACCCGAGAAGGAAUUAUGUAUCAUAACUAUAUCACGGGAACUAUACCCAUAAUCACGAUGAUUUAUUAAUCACACAUAAAGAAAGCUACGAUGUUCGAGAGUUGUUUAUUUGUUCCUAAAUUCAAGGCUAUUGAAGGUCAUGUAUCAUGGAACAGGACCGCAUAAUGCUAUCUCGAAUAUAGGAGAGGUGAAAUUGUUUUGAUUAGAUUUUUAUGACAAAACCCAUUACUGCUGCUAGGCAAGCAUUACUCCAAGAUUAUUCAAUGGGAUUACACAAAUCAUUUUUCUAUCCAAAAAAAUCUCAAAAAAAGGUUAGUUGACCAAGAACACAACAAUGGAGACGCAUGUGUUUGGAAAUAUUCAACAGGUUAGUUAAACACUUAGACUAACAGCUUUUGGAAAGAAAGAAAAUUGUGCAUUAAAUCUCAAGCACUGACUAGCAAAUGGUUUAAAGAAUUUCAAGCUAAUUCAUAAGCUCCCAUGGAUAGUACAUUAUUUACUUGCUGCAGCAUGAAAAACCUUCAGCUCAUACUCCAAUAAUUUCCAGCAUAUAUUACAUACAAAUGGGAAUAAGCAAUUAACAAAGAAUAGAGAAUUUUCAGUGUUUAUUAUAAUCCCACUCAAUUAGCUAAUGAUGAAACACAUUUUCCUUAAAAAACACAUACACAUCUCCAGGCUAUAUAGUUUUCAGUUCCUCCAAAUAGCUUCUCGAUUUAUCAGGAUUGGAGUAUUCCAGCAAAUCAGAAUCUGGUGCAUAUUACUCCAAAAUGAACAAAGUCACAAGACUGACAUUUAACAGCAAAAUUUAGAGAUGGUGCACAUAUCAUUAACUACACCUCAAACUAACGAUACUUAUGCCCACAGAUUGCACACGAGGUGCAGCGUCGAUUUCCAUACUCAUUUUGGCCAUUAUCACUUAAGUCCGCAGCAUGUUCCAGGUAUCAGUUAAAUCAAACACCUCAAUCAAAGUUAUAACAUUGCACUUAUGCUAAAUAAGAUUUCAACACGUUCAAAUAUGCUAAAACUAAAUUUCAAAAGAUUCAAACAAUUGAAGCACAUGAGCUAGAAGUGCAUCUACAAUUUCAUUACGAAUCAGAGAGGAGAUACAUGAUUGGGACAUGUACCUGGUCUCUUAGGAAUCAACAUAAAAUUGCCAAAGAAAGGCUAGAAAGGAGGAAAAGUUGGAGUUCAGCUGUAGUUUAUUUGCAAAACAACUUCAAUUACCAGUUUAAAUCACCUUGAAAAAACUCAGGAAAGUGUGAAUAAAAUCUUCAAAGCUCGAUUUCACUUCAAGUUCUACUUGAAAUCUUUAUUUUUUUUGCAUUUUUCAGAGCUUUUGUUUUUGUCCUCACAUCUGAUCUUUGAACUCGAAUUCAGAAUGUGAGUGUGUGCGUCGAUGACUGAGAGAGGUGAGAAUUGUGUGAUUUCUUUUUCAGGAGAUGAUGGGAAGGUCUACUCUUUGUCUUUUGGAGCAGAUUAAGGGCACCGUUUGCUCUGAUUUUUGGGAGCAGGGAUGCCAUUGUUCUCCUCUCCUAGGUCUAGAUUUUAGGGACUUUAAUGAAAGAGGGGCUUGGGCCGGUUCGUGUAGGCUAAUUAUUUGGGCCGAAGUUUUUGGACUUAUUUUGUAUUAAAUUGGCCCAAUUUCAAAAAAAAAACACUUGUUCA
Molecule: long non-coding RNA, 5178 nt
Filed under: Nicotiana tabacum (common tobacco)
Lineage: Eukaryota; Viridiplantae; Streptophyta; Magnoliopsida; Solanales; Solanaceae
Description: long non-coding RNA (NTAB_LNC012257)
Source: RNAcentral